RNAcentral lists this ribosomal RNA (443 nucleotides) under uncultured bacterium. Its description in RNAcentral is "bacterial SSU rRNA". It matches the Rfam family "Bacterial small subunit ribosomal RNA", at positions 28 to 479 of the family's 1533-position model. The record is from RNAcentral.
GACGAACGCUGGCGGCGUGCCUAACACAUGCAAGUCGAACGGGGUGAUUCCUUCGGGGAUCACUUAGUGGCGAACGGGUGAGUAACGCGUGAGAAACCUGCCUUUCAGUGGGGGACAACAGUUGGAAACGACUGCUAAUACCGCAUAAUGUUAUUUGGGGGCAUCCUUGAAUAACCAAAGCUUUAUGUGCUGAAAGAUGGUCUCGCGUCUGAUUAGCUAGUUGGUGAGGUAACGGCUCACCAAGGCGACGAUCAGUAGCCGGUCUGAGAGGAUGAACGGCCACAUUGGGACUGAGAUACGGCCCAGACUCCUACGGGAGGCAGCAGUGGGGAAUAUUGGGCAAUGGGGGGAAACCCUGACCCAGCAACGCCGCGUGAAGGAAGAAGGCCUCGGGUUGGUAAACGUUACUUUUACCUACGGUACGGAAGAACGUAGACGGUACC